RNAcentral lists this ribosomal RNA (437 nucleotides) under uncultured bacterium. RNAcentral describes it as "bacterial SSU rRNA". It matches the Rfam family "Bacterial small subunit ribosomal RNA", at positions 354 to 796 of the family's 1533-position model. The record is from RNAcentral.
GUGAGGAAUUUUGCGCAAUGGGGGAAACCCUGACGCAGCGACGCCGCGUGGAGGAUGACGGCCUUCGGGUCUUAAACUCCUGUCAGAGGUGAAGAAUCCCCGCAAGGGGUUGACGGUAACCUCAAAGGAAGCCCCGGCUAACUACGUGCCAGCAGCCGCGGUAAGACGUAGGGGGCAAACGUUACUCGGAAUUACUGGGCGUAAAGGGUGUGUAGGCGGCUGGGUAAGUUAAAGAUGAAAUCCCGAGGCUUAACUUCGGAAUUGUCUUUGAAACUGCCCGGCUUGAGGGUAGUCGAGGAGAAUGGAAUUCCCGGUGGAGCGGUGAAAUGCGUAGAUAUCGGGAGGAACACCCGAGGCGUAAGCGAUUCUCUAUCCUAUUCCUGACGCUGAAACACGAAAGCUAGGGGAGCGAACGGGAUUAGAAACCCCGGUAGUCC